AUGAUUCAAAGCCAUGUUUUUCUGGUGUUAUCUUUGUCGUUUGGUCAACUAAACUGGUGCUACGCCCUCAUGAGAAGAAUGAAUGUUGUGAGCUCCCAGCGGCUAAGUGUAGUGUGUUUCACGUCUUGGCUGAAUUUGUUACAAAACCAUAUCAGAGAAAUUGUUAGAAUCUUGCCCGUACGACUCUUUUCUCCUUCUGCCAUAAUUUUGUUUUGUAUACUAUUACUAUAUGAUACAUCCAUUGCUGAUGUGUACAUCACGUUUUGCAGUUGUAGAAUUAAUUAUUCAGGCGUGAGUGAUUGA
This 303-nucleotide ribosomal RNA is filed under the name Triticum aestivum (bread wheat). RNAcentral describes it as "partial small subunit ribosomal RNA". Lineage: Eukaryota; Viridiplantae; Streptophyta; Magnoliopsida; Poales; Poaceae. The record is from RNAcentral.